GAUGAACGCUGGCGGCGUGCCUAAUACAUGCAAGUCGAGCGAACAGACGAGGAGCUUGCUCCUCUGACGUUAGCGGCGGACGGGUGAGUAACACGUGGAUAACCUACCUAUAAGACUGGGAUAACUUCGGGAAACCGGAGCUAAUACCGGAUAAUAUAUUGAACCGCAUGGUUCAAUAGUGAAAGACGGUUUUGCUGCCACUUAUAGAUGGAUCCGCGCCGCAUUAGCUAGUUGGUAAGGUAACGGCUUACCAAGGCAACGAUGCGUAGCCGACCUGAGAGGGUGAUCAGCCACACUGGAACUGAGCCACGGUCCAGACUCCUACGGGAGGCAGCAGUAGGGAAUCUUCCGCAAUGGGCGAAAGCCUGACGGAGCAACGCCGCGUGAGUGAUGAAGGUCUUCGGAUCGUAAAACUCUGUUAUUAGGGAAGAACAAAUGUGUAAGUAACUAUGCACGUCUUGACGGUACCUAAUCAGAAAGCCACGGCUAACUACGUG
Molecule: ribosomal RNA, 497 nt
Filed under: uncultured bacterium
Lineage: Bacteria
Description: partial 16S ribosomal RNA
Rfam family: Bacterial small subunit ribosomal RNA
Source: RNAcentral